This 464-nucleotide ribosomal RNA is filed under the name Vreelandella stevensii. RNAcentral describes it as "partial 16S ribosomal RNA". It matches the Rfam family "Bacterial small subunit ribosomal RNA", at positions 338 to 795 of the family's 1533-position model. Lineage: Bacteria; Pseudomonadati; Pseudomonadota; Gammaproteobacteria; Oceanospirillales; Halomonadaceae. The record is from RNAcentral.
CCUACGGCGGCAGCAGUGGGGAAUAUUGGACAAUGGGGGCAACCCUGAUCCAGCCAUGCCGCGUGUGUGAAGAAGGCCCUCGGGUUGUAAAGCACUUUCAGUGAGGAAGAACGCCUGGUGGUUAAUACCCAUCAGGAAAGACAUCACUCACAGAAGAAGCACCGGCUAACUCCGUGCCAGCAGCCGCGGUAAUACGGAGGGUGCGAGCGUUAAUCGGAAUUACUGGGCGUAAAGCGCGCGUAGGUGGCUUGAUAAGCCGGUUGUGAAAGCCCCGGGCUCAACCUGGGAACGGCAUCCGGAACUGUCAAGCUAGAGUGCAGGAGAGGAAGGUAGAAUUCCCGGUGUAGCGGUGAAAUGCGUAGAGAUCGGGAGGAAUACCAGUGGCGAAGGCGGCCUUCUGGACUGACACUGACACUGAGGUGCGAAAGCGUGGGUAGCAAACAGGAUUAGAUACCCUUGUAGUC